GGCAGAGGAAGCUCAUCAGUGGCCAUGGGAUGAGUGCAUCGCGUCACUCUACUCCAUGGCCCCUGGGGAGACCUGAAACCAGGACCAGUAGUGGCCUAAGAGGGCUCUUGCUGAGUUUCAGGGAGGUCAGCUUCGCAGGGAAAUACUACAAACAAACAGAACUUCAAUAGAUUCUAUUUUGUAUUCUGUAAGUUUUUAGUUGUUUUUCAUGCUCUAUGAUUGUAAACCUCUUGAGGAAAACAAAAAACAAAAAUCAUGCUAUAUGAUUAACCUGUGUUUCCUAUAGAGCCCAGAAUGAUGUAUCCAGAAUUCAGUCAGUGCUUCAUAAAUCAUGUUGAGAAUGUGAUUUAUGGAAUGUUUGAAACAUAAUUUUCUAAUGUU
This is a ribozyme of Oryctolagus cuniculus (rabbit), 381 nucleotides long. It matches the Rfam family "Nuclear RNase P". From Rfam's summary of the family: Ribonuclease P (RNase P) is a ubiquitous endoribonuclease, found in archaea, bacteria and eukarya as well as chloroplasts and mitochondria. Its best characterised activity is the generation of mature 5'-ends of tRNAs by cleaving the 5'-leader elements of precursor-tRNAs. Lineage: Eukaryota; Metazoa; Chordata; Mammalia; Lagomorpha; Leporidae. The record is from Ensembl.